RNAcentral lists this ribosomal RNA (239 nucleotides) under uncultured bacterium. RNAcentral's name for it is "partial 16S ribosomal RNA". The record is from RNAcentral.
CUGCUGCCUUCCGUAGGAGUCUGGGCCGUAUCUCAGUCCCAAUGUGGCCGGCCAACCUCUCAGUCCGGCUACUGAUCGUCGCCUUGGUGGGCCGUUACCUCACCAACUAGCUAAUCAGACGCGAGGCCAUCUUCCAGCGAUAAAUCUUUGACAUCAGUGCCAUGCGACACCAAUGCGUCAUGCGGUAUUAGCAGUCGUUUCCAACUGUUGUCCCCCCUCUGGAAGGCAGGUUCCUCACG